Molecule: transfer RNA, 71 nt
Filed under: Marmota marmota marmota (Alpine marmot)
Lineage: Eukaryota; Metazoa; Chordata; Mammalia; Rodentia; Sciuridae
Also listed under: 1 other name
Rfam family: tRNA
About the family: Transfer RNA (tRNA) molecules are approximately 80 nucleotides in length. Their secondary structure includes four short double-helical elements and three loops (D, anti-codon, and T loops).
Source: Rfam by way of RNAcentral
UGGGAUGUAGCUCAGUGGUAGAGCUGUUACCUAGCAUGUAUUAGGUCCUGGGCUCUAUCCCCCCAUCUCUA